Molecule: ribosomal RNA, 460 nt
Filed under: uncultured bacterium
Lineage: Bacteria
Description: partial 16S ribosomal RNA
Rfam family: Bacterial small subunit ribosomal RNA
Source: RNAcentral
CCUACGGGCGGCAGUAGUGAGGAAUAUUGGUCAAUGGACGAGAGUCUGAACCAGCCAAGUAGCGUGAAGGAUGACGGCCCUACGGGUUGUAAACCUCUUUUAUAAAGGAAUAAAACGAGGCACGUGUGCCUUUUUGCGAGUACUUUAUGAAUAAGGAUCGGCUAACUCCGUGCCAGCAGCCGCGGUAAUACGGAGGAUCCGAGCGUUAUCCGGAUUUAUUGGGUUUAAAGGGUGCGUAGAUGGGUUGUUAAGUCAGUUGUGAAAGUUUGCGGCUCAACCGUAAAAUUGCAAUUGAUACUGGCAGUCUUGAGUACAGUUGGGGUAGGCGGAAUGCGUGGUGUAGCGGUGAAAUGCUUAGAUAUCACGCAGAACCCCGAUUGCGAAGGCAGCUUACUAACCUGUGACUGACAUUGAUGCUCGAAAGUGUGGGUAUCGAACAGGAUUAGAUACCCUUGUAGUC